UACGGGAGGCAGCAGUGGGGAAUAUUGCACAAUGGGCGCAAGCCUGAUGCAGCCAUGCCGCGUGUAUGAAGAAGGCCUUCGGGUUGUAAAGUACUUUCAGUCGUGAGGAAGGUGUUAAGGUUAAUAACCUUAGCAAUUGACGUUAGCGACAGAAGAAGCACCGGCUAACUCCGUGCCAGCAGCCGCGGUAAUACGGAGGGUGCGAGCGUUAAUCGGAAUUACUGGGCGUAAAGGGCACGCAGGCGGUUAAUUAAGUUGGAUGUGAAAUCCCCGGGCUUAACCUGGGAAUGGCAUUCAAGACUGGUUAGCUAGAGUCUUGUAGAGGGGGUAGAAUUCCAUGUGUAGCGGUGAAAUGCGUAGAGAUGUGGAGGAAUACCGAUGGCGAAAGCGGCCCCUGGGACAAAGACUGACGCUCAUGUGCGAAAGCGUGGGGAGCGAAACAGGAUUAGAUACC
This 454-nucleotide ribosomal RNA is filed under the name uncultured bacterium. Its description in RNAcentral is "bacterial SSU rRNA". It matches the Rfam family "Bacterial small subunit ribosomal RNA", at positions 340 to 786 of the family's 1533-position model. The record is from RNAcentral.